Molecule: non-coding RNA, 250 nt
Organism: Paramuricea clavata
Lineage: Eukaryota; Metazoa; Cnidaria; Anthozoa; Malacalcyonacea; Plexauridae
Source: the annotation of a GenBank genome assembly
GAUAAUGCCAAUAAAACGAAAGUCUGAUCUCUUGGUGAUCGUUUAAUAAAAUUCUAUGAAACUUGGCACAUUUAGUGGAUGCAACCAAGUGAACAAUUUGGCUUGUUUAUAAUGGUUGUUAUGGCAACACACUCGUCCCCAGUCCCUUCUCUUCCAAUUUCUAUAUGAUCCAUUUCCAAGGAAAUAAAUAGCAAUUUCUGCAAUUUUCGCUUAUUACUAUCAUGCGUGUAGGUAUUGUAAUCAGUUUAAA